RNAcentral lists this long non-coding RNA (417 nucleotides) under Mytilus galloprovincialis (Mediterranean mussel). The record is from RNAcentral. Lineage: Eukaryota; Metazoa; Mollusca; Bivalvia; Mytilida; Mytilidae.
CUUUUUGGCCCCAAAAUAUAGCAGUUUUACAAAAUUGUUAAAAUGUAAACUUUUAGUUAUUUAUUGGACAGUAGAAUGAUUCUGCUACAUAAAUAUGGGCUGUUUUUGACAAUACAAUGCACAUAUAUCGGGUACUAGCACCAUUAAGUCCUGCUAAAUUACUGAAAUCUUUACAAUUCUAGCAUUUUAGUUAAAUUUUAGACGGUUUUCGUGUGAAACGAAAGUGGCCGCAUUCGUGUUCAUCCUUAAUAUUGAAAUGUAAGUUGUAUUUUAUGAUAAUACAUAACAUAUAUAAAGGUUAAGGAUGAACACGGAUGCGGCCACUUUCAUUUUUGACAAAAACCAUCUGAAAAGUGACAUUUUUUCGGCAUAUUUGGUAGAUUUUUCAUAUUUGAGCUUGAAUCGGGUCGUUUUUAA